GUGGCCUGUCCGGUCAAUCUCAUUUCAGCAGUUCUCUCCCUCUCUAAAAGUGGAGGGUGCUUCCUCCGGCUUAUCAUUUUCUCAGUUCUCUCUCUCUCUCUCUCUCUCUAUCCAAUGGUUCACGAUGAAGAUGAUUUUGUUUCACUAUAAAAAUCGCCGAUCGUUAUAGAAAUACUUCGUCUCUGAGUGUUAAAUCCAUAUUUCCCGUAGGUUUCCAGUCUUCACCGAUUUUAUGUCAUAUGUGUCAAAACCAGUGAACAUUAUCCUUCGUCGGAAUACGACCGUAGAGAGAGAUCGGAGCUUAACUAUGAUUAUACAGGUCAGGUGAAGUGCAUGUUAAAUUUGUGCAAAUCUACACGGUUGCUUACAGAUUAGUUGACAAUUUCUACCUAAUUCGGUGAGGAUUUCUAACCGUAACAUCUUUACUGUUUCAGAUCUAAGUAUGAUAUAUUUAGGAUUUAUCUAUCUAUGUUGUUUAACUGAUACGGUGAACCCUAACAGUUAAGGGUUCGUUUAACUACUAAGUCCAAUUAAAGUGUAGAUCUGAUGAAAUCAUUCAUUGGAAAACACAUGCAUCUGGAUUUUGAAAAAAAAAAAUUGUAUUCUAAUGUUAGUAUCUGCAUUAGCUUAGUGGACUCGCGGUUGCGAAGUUUCUUUUUGUUUUUAAUUUUUUCUUUCAAUAUGUUAUUUUCAUAUUUAUUUUAAAAACAGACUUUAUAUUUAACAACGACGUCUAGUCUUGUGUUAAUAUAUGUCAGGACUAUGUUGGGAUCCAGAAAAAGUGAUGCGAUUUGCUACAGAGAUAAGUUUUUCCAAUCUUAUUCCUCUGUUUUCUGGAAAUUUUGAAAUUGUUUUAAAUCCAGACUGUUUUUCAUGCUAAUAUGGCUAUAUAUCUAAGAGUGAUUUCAAGCAUUAGUGGUGUAAUAAUCAUAUUAGUAGAUAGAUUUACCUUUGUUUUGGCUUAGAUGCUUCCUCUUCAACCCAGUAGUGAUUGAAAAUGUAAUUUUCGUCAUGUUGUCUUCAGAAAAUGCUUAUACUAACUAUAUUCGUGGAUAGGUGGUGUUGAAAAUGUUUUCUUAAAAUCUAUGUACUCCCUUUUAUAGAUGUUAAAUAAUAAUUUCAGAUUGAAAGAGAAACGUCGCCAUUUCUUGAAAACUGGUCAUUAUUAUACAUUUUGGAAUACUAUGAAUUUUAUGUGUGCUACUUAAUGCAAAAUUUGGGAAAAAGUCUUAUUUUGUGUUCACAUUAUCAUAAUUCCUGAUUCCAACAAAUUUGAUUGCGACUCAUCAAGCAUGUCAUAUCUCGAGCUUGGGAAUGUGCUUCCCACUAUAGUUGCUAUGGGAUUGUGUCUACACUUAAACAAAAACUGUACCGGAAUAUCGAUCUCAAAUGAACAGCUGUAUACAACCCUUGCAAUCACAUCUCCGAUGUCUGCAAUCCAUUUUUAAAAUCAAUCAAUCGUUUGUCUAUAUUCAUCUGAAGCUAAGGUCCAUAGUCUCAAGUUCUUGGUGAGCCUUAAUACCUUGCAAUUUGUCCACAGGUAUGAAUAAUUAAUAUUUGCUCCGACAACUACUGGUCUUGUUACUUUUGGAAUAACGGGCAAGAUCUGUUUAAAAACGCCGCUCAAAACUAUUGUUUCCACCAAAAGUCUUUUCAGCACUACCAGUACUUGGAAGGAGGAAUCUGGGAAAGCUGCUUUUUGGAAUUGAUUGAUGAUUGAUUGAUUUUGGACGGUUGUAUUUAUGGAUAGUCUUUUUGGUUUUCGAAAUGUGGAUAGGUCUUUGGACGAGUGCACGCUUGCAUUUAUGGAUAGUCUCUUUGGUUUUCGAGAUAUGGAUAUGGAUAGUCUCUUUGAUAUCCGAACGUUUUCAAAUUAAAUCUGAGAUGAUUAAUAAUCAUACUCAAACAUUAUAAAUAAGACCUCACAAUUUGCAAGAUAACCACCACUCCGAGUUCAUCAUCGAAAAAAAUGGCUCCAAGUUGCAGGAGAACCAUUCGUGUAUUUUUCUAUGGCGGUACCGAUUGAGGAGGCGGAAGACAGAAUGUUGAGGAAGAUCAGGCACUAACAGUCACGCCUGCAAAAAAAGAAGAAGACAACAGAUGGUUAAACAACGGAGAAGAAUAAUGGAAAGAGGCCAAACAUAAUGGACUUUUCUCUCCCAAUUCCUUUGUGAACCAAGAUUUCCAGAUGCAAGAGGAAGGCAAGAUCAUAUAUAUGCAAGGAUUCUGAAUUUGAGAUUCCAAUAGAAUUGGAAUCCCUUCUCAUAAGACUAUGGUGUUCAAAGUUAUGUAAAGAUGGAACAUUUAAGAAACCAAUCUACCAAUUCCAGUCUUGAAGGUAGCUAAUGAUGAUGAAUUGGUUUCCACCUACUGUGCCUCAUCCAAAUGAUGAGCAAGAUCAGUUUUCAAGUAUCAUUGAUGAAGAAGAGAAUGAUGAGGAAUCUGAUUGUACUGAAUUUGGAGAUGAAGCCAGCAGUCCAGGUGUGGCACCAUGUCUAUGGGUUACAAGUUAUGAUACACCCCAACAAAUUGAAUCAGGUUCUACCAAGAGCUGUCUGCUGGAUCAAUUCUCAUCCAGUAAAGGUUUCAUGAACGCUAAGGCUGUGAUACUUAAACAAGAAAAGUAAUGCUGUGUUGUUUCUAACGUUUGGUACUCUUAUGGACUUUUUAGUGCAACAAUGUUAUGGCGGGUGAUGUUGUUGAAUUAA
This is a long non-coding RNA of Ipomoea nil (Japanese morning glory), 2708 nucleotides long. RefSeq lists it as uncharacterized. The record is from RefSeq and is a predicted model, not a curated record. Lineage: Eukaryota; Viridiplantae; Streptophyta; Magnoliopsida; Solanales; Convolvulaceae. The transcript has 5 exons.